Molecule: signal recognition particle RNA, 99 nt
Filed under: Oscillospiraceae bacterium
Lineage: Bacteria; Bacillati; Bacillota; Clostridia; Eubacteriales; Oscillospiraceae
Description: signal recognition particle sRNA small type
Rfam family: Bacterial small signal recognition particle RNA
About the family: The signal recognition particle (SRP) is a universally conserved ribonucleoprotein involved in the co-translational targeting of proteins to membranes. Archaeal SRP consists of a 7S RNA and homologues of the eukaryotic SRP19 and SRP54 proteins.
Source: RNAcentral
GUGCGGAUUCCGUGCGUCGGCGCGCCGCGAACUAGGUCAGGCGGGGAACCGAGCAGCCUUAAGCGGAGUGUGCCGGGCGACACGAUCGGUCUGUGCGCC